RNAcentral lists this long non-coding RNA (267 nucleotides) under Carica papaya (papaya). Its description in RNAcentral is "long non-coding RNA (CPAP_LNC012613)". Lineage: Eukaryota; Viridiplantae; Streptophyta; Magnoliopsida; Brassicales; Caricaceae. The record is from RNAcentral.
AUUUUAAUGAUUUUAUCCAUUUACUUAUUCAAACUCAAAUUCAAAUAAAGCUGUGAAGAAAAUGUUUCACCGCAGCCUACGUAGCUGCCAUGCAGCGUGUAUGCAUGGAUUUCUGAGUUUAAUCUUAUCGUUUAUUUUUUGGUUGUAAUCAAGCACAACUCUGUGCUUAUAAAUGUAAUCGUGCAAAUCAAUGAAAAUUAUCCUUUUUCCUCUCCAAAAAUCAUCAUCUUUCUGCAAUCUGAAAAACAGAGGCUUUUGCAGCCUUAU